AUUGAACGCUGGCGGCAGGCUUAACACAUGCAAGUCGAACGAGUGGCGGACGGGUGGGUAAUGCUUGGGAAUCUGGCUUAUGGAGGGGGAUAACGAGGGGAAACUGUAGAUAAUAGCGCUUACCAUCGGUUCGGCCCAAGUGGGUUUAGGUAGUUGGGGAGGUAAAGGCUCACCAAGACGACGAGCUCUAGCUGGCCUGAGAGGAUGACCAGCCACACUGGGACUGAGACACGGCCCAGACGCCUACGGGAGGCAGCAGUGGGGAAUAUUGCACAAUGGGCGAAAGCCUGAUGCAGCAAUGCCGAGUGUAUGAAGAAGGCCUUAGGGUUGUAAAGUACUUUCAUCGGGGAGGCGUUACCUACACAAGAAGCAACGGCUAACUCCGUGCCAGCAGCCGCGGUAAUAC
RNAcentral lists this ribosomal RNA (406 nucleotides) under uncultured bacterium. Its description in RNAcentral is "partial 16S ribosomal RNA". It matches the Rfam family "Bacterial small subunit ribosomal RNA", at positions 30 to 526 of the family's 1533-position model. The record is from RNAcentral.